UAAGAGCCGGUUGAUUUGGAUCCCUUCUCUGCAAGUGGGCAUUCUGUUGUUGCAAUAGCCGAAGUCUCAUCAGGUGUUCCCUUGACUUCAUCUAGUGCACCACAAAGAAUUCCAUAAAUACAAAAGCAUAUACAAUGAGCAGCACACGUGACUUGACAUCCAUUAAACUUGAUACAUAGAAUGCAGACAUCACAUUCACAUUUCAUAGAUACAAAAAAAAAGACAGUAGCAUUCACAUCAGUAAAUUACACAUAGUAUCCAUGUUACAUCCUAAUUAAGUGUAAGUGCACUUAGACAGCUAGUCACACUACAGGUCAGUUUUACUUUGCCAGAUUAUGCAUGCCACAUUCCACUUAAAAAUAGUUAAUGCAUCCUGUAGGGGUUAAUGCUCAUUUAACAAAAUAUCAACACGAAGCACUCAUUCAAGUGCACCAAAUUAAUAGUACCAUAAUCUGUAUGGUUAAUGUUCAAACACAGAUAAGAAAUCAUAUUGCCAAAUGCAUGCGCAUAUACCACUGAUAUCUUUGCAGCAGCAUUUGCCUGCCAUUUUACACAUUAAAUUAGAUUAAGCAUGUGAAGCAGUUAGACAUGCUUCUCCAUUUUCACAACAAAAUCGACCAGGUUACAGACAGGCAGCAAAGUAAGCAAGCGAGCAAGCAAUGUUUCUAGCGAAUCCAGUGGCCAAACAGCCGAGCCAAGCAGCCAAAAGUACAAGAUAAGAGCAUGCAAACUUCUCUCUGGAAGAACACAAAAAACUUAGAUCGGCGUCGACCACAACGGAAACCACGGGUGUCUAGCACCUAAGCGACCACCGAUAACUAGUGGAAGCACGUAGGAGGAGAAGCGACGGGCAUCCAUCCACACGAGAACAUCAUUGCUACGCGCUAUAGUUUUGCACAUAUAAGUGAAGAUAAAGAAAAUCAGCGCCUUCAGCGGCUUAUCUGAUUGAGCUUGCAUGGAUCGUAUAUGGCGACUGCACAUGGUAUGCACAGACUACGCGCUAUAGUAUGCACAAACUACUUCUUUAUGCAAAAAGCACCGGUAAUAUAUGGCGACUGCACAUAUGUCAACUACUUUAUGCAAUGCCCCACGGCCGUUUCUCAAAUUGUACUUAUCUAACAGCAAUGCCCCAUAGUCGUUUCAAACUCAUCAUACAUAGUGAUGCAUGUGGGUAUUCAGGAACAAUCAGAAGUGGAGCAAUGAUGGGCUACAACAGGUUCAGUUUGAUAGUUCGUACAUUCACUUUUGUUAACGACCUCCAAAUUAAUCUCAAUCAUGUCUGAAUAUGUGCAGUGCAGAUGAACGUGCACUAACAAUGCAGAAGAUACAGUCUAACAAUGACACGAUUUGGCUUCAUACCUUUUUGUCCACCCAGGGGCCUGUGGAUAGACUCUGCCCGACCUCGUCGGGGAUGUAUCCGGGCAACAGCGCACUUCAGCUUGUGCCAUAUCAGUGCCAACUCCGGCUCUGCUGUUCGCCAGCAAGACCAUACGAAC
This 1496-nucleotide long non-coding RNA is filed under the name Triticum aestivum (bread wheat). RNAcentral's name for it is "long non-coding RNA (TAES_LNC014053)". Lineage: Eukaryota; Viridiplantae; Streptophyta; Magnoliopsida; Poales; Poaceae. The record is from RNAcentral.